UUUUUUAAUUGGGGACUGGAAUGAAAGGUUAGAAACUAAAAGGAAUGUUUUAUUUAUUUAUUUUUAAUUUAAAUUAAAAGUAAAAAUGCUUUUAUUAAUCCUGGGGACGAGAAGACCCUAGAAUCUUAAAAUUUUUAAUAAAUUUUUAAUUGGGGCAAUUAUUGAAGAGAUAAAUUUUUAAUUUGAUAAAGUAUAAAUAAUAAAGUUACUCUAGGGUUAACAGCGUUAUUUAGUUUGUAAGUUCUUAUUAAUAACUAAGAUUGCGACCUCGAUGUUGAAUUAAAUUGGAUUUUUAAUGGAGAGGUUUUAUAAAUUUAGUCUGUUCGACUAUUAAAAGUUUACGUGAUCUGAGUUCAGACCGG
This 362-nucleotide ribosomal RNA is filed under the name Zamora granulata. RNAcentral's name for it is "partial large subunit ribosomal RNA". The stretch from base 73 to 362 matches the Rfam family "Bacterial large subunit ribosomal RNA", at positions 2046 to 2619 of the family's 2925-position model. The record is from RNAcentral. Lineage: Eukaryota; Metazoa; Arthropoda; Arachnida; Opiliones; Nomoclastidae.